This 477-nucleotide ribosomal RNA is filed under the name uncultured bacterium. Its description in RNAcentral is "bacterial SSU rRNA". It matches the Rfam family "Bacterial small subunit ribosomal RNA", at positions 40 to 507 of the family's 1533-position model. The record is from RNAcentral.
CUACAGGCCUAACACAUAGCAAGUUCAGGGGCAGCAUGGACUUAGCUUGCUAAGUCUGAUGGCGACCGGCGCACGGGUGAGUAACGCGUAUCCAACCUGCCCAUAUCCCGGGCAUAACCUUGCGAAAGCAAGCCUAAUUCCCGAUGUGUCCUGUGACGGCAUCAGAUCAGGAUGAAAGAUUUAUCGGUGAUGGAUGGGGAUGCGUCUGAUUAGCUGUUGGCGGGGUAACGGCCCACCAAGGCGACGAUCAGUAGGGGUUCUGAGAGGAAGGUCCCCCACAUUGGAACUGAGACACGGUCCAAACUCCUACGGGAGGCAGCAGUGAGGAAUAUUGGUCAAUGGACGAGAGUCUGAACCAGCCAAGUAGCGUGCAGGAAGACGGCCCUAUGGGUUGUAAACUGCUUUUAUAAGGGAAUAAAAUACGGGACGUGUCCUGUUUUGCAUGUACCUUAUGAAUAAGGACCGGCUAAUUCCGUG